CUAGUGAUUGCUAUCCAUCGGAUUGUCUUUUGAUAUACUGAAAUACCCUGGAUCAAAUGCAUAUCUUCUUAAAAGAACAUGCUCCUGGGAGAUCUUCGGUUUGUGCUUCUUGACUUGAUUUGCGGUACUUUUUAUCUCUCUUUUUUUCCUUCCAAAUAUUGUAAUUAAAGUGCUUUAUGCUUUAUCUUUUAAUGGGCUAUAAUUAUUUCCCAAAUGCCCCUUUUGACGGAUUCUCAUUGUUGUUACUAGUUGCAAAGACCAG
This 262-nucleotide long non-coding RNA is filed under the name Nicotiana benthamiana. Its description in RNAcentral is "long non-coding RNA (NBEN_LNC028493)". The record is from RNAcentral. Lineage: Eukaryota; Viridiplantae; Streptophyta; Magnoliopsida; Solanales; Solanaceae.